CUAUGGAGGAAGGUUCCAUCCGGAGAGUUGUCGAUUGAUCCGGAAGCUGACGAGCGGCGCGGCCGGGCAACUGGCCUCGUCGAAGCCUCGUGACAAAGGCCGCCUUGGGCGGCCGAGCGAUCCAACGGGCCGUAACGUGA
Non-coding RNA from Nitrobacter hamburgensis X14, 140 nucleotides. Lineage: Bacteria; Pseudomonadati; Pseudomonadota; Alphaproteobacteria; Hyphomicrobiales; Nitrobacteraceae. The record is from Rfam.